Amaranthus tricolor (Joseph's coat) is the source of this 854-nucleotide long non-coding RNA. RefSeq lists it as uncharacterized. The record is from RefSeq and is a predicted model, not a curated record. Lineage: Eukaryota; Viridiplantae; Streptophyta; Magnoliopsida; Caryophyllales; Amaranthaceae. The transcript has 3 exons.
GACAUACCUCCUCCCCAUUUCUUUCAUCAUCCUCAUCAUCUUUUUACCUUCAAAAUCUUAACAAUGGCUACCCUUCUCUUCUCUUUCUCUUUGCUCAGCCAACAACACCACCACCACCACGCUAGCCACCAGCGCCGACAGUACCACCACCUCCUCCCUUUAUUGUUGUUAUGCAUGUUGAUCAUUGUUGGGUUUAAAUUGGGGAUUUUAUGACUCAAAUUGAAGUUCAAGAUUGAAAGUUGAAAGGUCCUUUAAUGGUGAUUGAGGUUGCCAACUUUAGUGCGGAUGGAUGUGCUGCUCCUUUAUGUGUCAUGUGUUGCGAUAGCGAGGAUAUCGUUUUGGAAAGUUAACUUAUAAUGAUAUUUUGACAAAUCAUGUGUUGUAAAAAUUUUAAAAAAAUUUUGAUAUUUUAUAAUGUAUUAACUUAAUUUAUAACUGGGUUGUAAGUAAUUGUAUUACAGUUCUGUAAAGUUUUUAAAUACUCUGAUAUUGGUUGUUGUGGCUAUCGAGCCACAGGUCGGAUUUAGCCCAGACUUCUAUAAGUCUUCCGCUGUACUUUGUAGACAAUAUUAUUAUAUUGUUUACGCUGGUUUGGGCUGUUUCAGUUAUUAAGGCUUAAAUCCGCUCAAUACUCCUAUAGUUAAAUGAUCAAUCAACCAUUCCAAAACUCUGAUUUGUACGAUAUACUGAGCUGCUGACUAUGACUAUGUCUACAUUUGUUUUAAAAACAACUCACUUUAUUUUUGUUGAUAUUGGGACACAUGAGUAAUUUAUUAUAUAUGAUUACAUGUAUGACUAAGCAUUUUUAAUUUAUAAAAAGGUGGAAUAAUGUCCAUUCCCAAUAGUAAAUUAGA